GGUUUACCUGUGUGACUGCGUACCUUUUGUAUAAUGGGUCAGCGACUUAUAUUCUGUAGCAAGGUUAACCGAAUAGGGGAGCCGGAGGGAAACCGAGUCUUAAUUGGGCGUUAAGUUGCAGGGUAUAGACCCGAAACCCGGUGAUCUAGCCAUGGGCAGGUUGAAGGUUGGGUAACACUAACUGGAGGACCGAACCGACUAAUGUUGAAAAAUUAGCGGAUGACCUGUGGCUGGGGGUGAAAGGCCAAUCAAACCGGGAGAUAGCUGGUUCUCCCCGAAAGCUAUUUAGGUAGCGCCUCGUGAAUUCAUCUCCGGGGGUAGAGCACUGUUUCGGCUAGGGGGCCAUCCCGGCUUACCAACCCGAUGCAAACUGCGAAUACCGGAGAAUGUUAUCACGGGAGACACACGGCGGGUGCUAACGUCCGUCGUGAAGAGGGAAACAACCCAGACCGCCAGCUAAGGUCCCAAAGUCAUGGUUAAGUGGGAAACGAUGUGGGAAGGCCCAGACAGCCAGGAUGUUGGCUUAGAAGCAGCCAUCAUUUAAAGAAAGCGUAAUAGCUCACUGGUCGAGUCGGCCUGCGCGGAAGAUGUAACGGGGCUAAACCAUGCACCGAAGCUGCGGCAGCGACGCUGAUGCGUUGUUGGGUAGGGGAGCGUUCUGUAAGCCUGUGAAGGUGGCCUGUGAGGGUUGCUGGAGGUAUCAGAAGUGCGAAUGCUGACAUAAGUAACGAUAAAGCGGGUGAAAAGCCCGCUCGCCGGAAGACCAAGGGUUCCUGUCCAACGUUAAUCGGGGCAGGGUGAGUCGACCCCUAAGGCGAGGCCGAAAGGCGUAGUCGAUGGGAAACGGGUUAAUAUUCCCGUACUUGGUGUUACUGCGAAGGGGGGACGGAGAAGGCUAUGUUGGCCGGGCGACGGUUGUCCCGGUUUAAGCGUGUAGGUGUGUGUUCCAGGUAAAUCCGGUUCACUUUAACACUGAGGCGUGACGACGAGGCACUACGGUGCUGAAGCAACAAAUGCCCUGCUUCCAGGAAAAGCCUCUAAGCAUCAGGUAACAUCAAAUCGUACCCCAAACCGACACAGGUGGUCAGGUAGAGAAUACCAAGGCGCUUGAGAGAACUCGGGUGAAGGAACUAGGCAAAAUGGUGCCGUAACUUCGGGAGAAGGCACGCUGACACGUAGGUGAAGUGAUUUACUCAUGGAGCUGAAGUCAGUCGAAGAUACCAGCUGGCUGCAACUGUUUAUUAAAAACACAGCACUGUGCAAACACGAAAGUGGACGUAUACGGUGUGACGCCUGCCCGGUGCCGGAAGGUUAAUUGAUGGGGUCAGCGCAAGCGAAGCUCCUGAUCGAAGCCCCGGUAAACGGCGGCCGUAACUAUAACGGUCCUAAGGUAGCGAAAUUCCUUGUCGGGUAAGUUCCGACCUGCACGAAUGGCGUAAUGAUGGCCAGGCUGUCUCCACCCGAGACUCAGUGAAAUUGAACUCGCUGUGAAGAUGCAGUGUACCCGCGGCAAGACGGAAAGACCCCGUGAACCUUUACUAUAGCUUGACACUGAACAUUGAGCCUUGAUGUGUAGGAUAGGUGGGAGGCUUUGAAGUGUGGACGCCAGUCUGCAUGGAGCCGACCUUGAAAUACCACCCUUUAAUGUUUGAUGUUCUAACGUGGACCCGUAAUCCGGGUUGCGGACAGUGUCUGGUGGGUAGUUUGACUGGGGCGGUCUCCUCCUAAAGAGUAACGGAGGAGCACGAAGGUUGGCUAAUCCUGGUCGGACAUCAGGAGGUUAGUGCAAUGGCAUAAGCCAGCUUGACUGCGAGCGUGACGGCGCGAGCAGGUGCGAAAGCAGGUCAUAGUGAUCCGGUGGUUCUGAAUGGAAGGGCCAUCGCUCAACGGAUAAAAGGUACUCCGGGGAUAACAGGCUGAUACCGCCCAAGAGUUCAUAUCGACGGCGGUGUUUGGCACCUCGAUGUCGGCUCAUCACAUCCUGGGGCUGAAGUAGGUCCCAAGGGUAUGGCUGUUCGCCAUUUAAAGUGGUACGCGAGCUGGGUUUAGAACGUCGUGAGACAGUUCGGUCCCUAUCUGCCGUGGGCGCUGGAGAACUGAGGGGGGCUGCUCCUAGUACGAGAGGACCGGAGUGGACGCAUCACUGGUGUUCGGGUUGUCAUGCCAAUGGCACUGCCCGGUAGCUAAAUGCGGAAGAGAUAAGUGCUGAAAGCAUCUAAGCACGAAACUUGCCCCGAGAUGAGUUCUCCCUGAGACUUAGAGUCUCCUGAAGGAACGUUGAAGACGACGACGUUGAUAGGCCGGGUGUGUAAGCGCAGCGAUGCGUUGAGCUAACCGGUACUAAUGAACCGUGAGGCUUAACCUUACAACGCCGAAG
Molecule: ribosomal RNA, 2377 nt
Filed under: Salmonella enterica subsp. enterica serovar Senftenberg
Lineage: Bacteria; Pseudomonadati; Pseudomonadota; Gammaproteobacteria; Enterobacterales; Enterobacteriaceae
Description: partial 23S ribosomal RNA
Rfam family: Bacterial large subunit ribosomal RNA
Source: RNAcentral